RNAcentral lists this ribosomal RNA (376 nucleotides) under uncultured bacterium. RNAcentral describes it as "bacterial SSU rRNA". It matches the Rfam family "Bacterial small subunit ribosomal RNA", at positions 524 to 898 of the family's 1533-position model. The record is from RNAcentral.
UACGAAGGGUGCAAGCGUUGUUCGGAAUUAUUGGGCGUAAAGAGUGAUAAGGCGGAUCUCCAAGUCAGGUGUGAAAUCUCGGGGCUUAACCCCGAAAGUGCGCCUGAAACUAGAGAUCUGGAGUAAUGUAGGGGAGAGGGGAAUUUCACGUGUAGGGGUAAAAUCCGUAGAGAUGUGAAGGAACACCAGAGGCGAAGGCGCCUCUCUGGGCAUUUACUGACGCUGAUUCACGAAAGCGUGGGGAGCAAACAGGAUUAGAUACCCUGGUAGUCCACGCCGUAAACGAUGAACACUAGUUUUUGGAGGUAUUGACCCCUCCAGGAACGCAGCUAACGCGUUAAGUGUUCCGCCUGGGAAGUACGGCCGCAAGGCUAAA